Cyprinodon variegatus (sheepshead minnow) is the source of this 448-nucleotide long non-coding RNA. RefSeq lists it as uncharacterized. NCBI's taxonomy places the organism in Eukaryota, Metazoa, Chordata, Actinopteri, Cyprinodontiformes, Cyprinodontidae. The transcript is spliced from 2 exons. The record is from RefSeq and is a predicted model, not a curated record.
UGUCGCGCCGCCAAACGGGAGGACGGAGGAGUACUUUUUGUCUCAGUCCUUGGGUGGAGGGGAUUUAUUUAGCCUCCUAUUGAAUCCCGCAAAUGGAUAAACAUGAAUGAAGACUACAGGUUAAAUGCCUUCGGCGCCCCCCUCGUGAAAAAGCGCACCGUGAGGGGCGUUUUCCGUGUAUUUUCCACUGUGUUUUUCCUAACAGGUACCGAGCAGCGGUCAGUCAGUGUGCCGCUGAAAGCAGACUGAAUAUCCCGCUUUGUAAUCUCCUGACAGCCUUUUUAACCCAACCUUGGAUUGAGGAAAGGAUCUUGGAAGAGCUUUACUCUCAUCUCCAUCAUGGACAUGGCUUUUUUCCUCUCUGUUAUUCCUUCUUUGUAACAGAUUUGUUGCCGUCGAUCAACAUGAGGAAAAUGGACGGUGUGGAUUAGGAUCCUUUUUUUGAAAA